Molecule: ribosomal RNA, 472 nt
Filed under: uncultured organism
Description: partial 16S ribosomal RNA
Rfam family: Bacterial small subunit ribosomal RNA
Source: RNAcentral
CACUCCUACGGGAGGCAGCAGUGGGGAAUUUUGGACAAUGGGCGAAAGCCUGAUCCAGCAAUGCCGCGUGUGUGAAGAAGGCCUUCGGGUUGUAAAGCACUUUUGUCCGGAAAGAAAUCCUUGGCUCUAAUACAGUCGGGGGAUGACGGUACCGGAAGAAUAAGCACCGGCUAACUACGUGCCAGCAGCCGCGGUAAUACGUAGGGUGCGAGCGUUAAUCGGAAUUACUGGGCGUAAAGCGUGCGCAGGCGGUUUGCUAAGACCGAUGUGAAAUCCCCGGGCUCAACCUGGGAACUGCAUUGGUGACUGGCAGGCUAGAGUAUGGCAGAGGGGGGUAGAAUUCCACGUGUAGCAGUGAAAUGCGUAGAGAUGUGGAGGAAUACCGAUGGCGAAGGCAGCCCCCUGGGCCAAUACUGACGCUCAUGCACGAAAGCGUGGGGAGCAAACAGGAUUAGAAACCCCGGUAGUCCCA